This 255-nucleotide ribosomal RNA is filed under the name Enterobacter hormaechei. RNAcentral describes it as "partial 23S ribosomal RNA". It matches the Rfam family "Bacterial large subunit ribosomal RNA", at positions 1651 to 1889 of the family's 2925-position model. Lineage: Bacteria; Pseudomonadati; Pseudomonadota; Gammaproteobacteria; Enterobacterales; Enterobacteriaceae. The record is from RNAcentral. RNAcentral also lists the same sequence under 1 other name.
AAACCGACACAGGUGGUCAGGUAGAGAAUACCAAGGCGCUUGAGAGAACUCGGGUGAAGGAACUAGGCAAAAUGGUGCCGUAACUUCGGGAGAAGGCACGCUGAUGUGUAGGUGAAGCCCCUGCGGGUGGAGCUGAAAUCAGUCGAAGAUACCAGCUGGCUGCAACUGUUUAUUAAAAACACAGCACUGUGCAAACACGAAAGUGGACGUAUACGGUGUGACGCCUGCCCGGUGCCGGAAGGUUAAUUGAUGGGG